RNAcentral lists this ribosomal RNA (1266 nucleotides) under metagenome. RNAcentral's name for it is "bacterial SSU rRNA". It matches the Rfam family "Archaeal small subunit ribosomal RNA", at positions 156 to 1467 of the family's 1478-position model. The record is from RNAcentral.
GGUGUGGAGGCCUGGAAUGGUUCCACGCCCAAAGGCACGGCGAUCAUGUUUGUCGUGUGCCCGAGGAUGGGGCUGCGGCUGAUCAGGCAGUUGGCGAGGUAACGGCUCACCAAACCUUUGACCAGUACGGGCCAUGAAAGUGGUAGCCCGGAGAUGGGCACUGAGACAGGGGCCCAGGCCCUACGGGGCGCAGCAGGCGCGAAAACUCCACAAUGUACGGAAGUACGAUGGGGUUAUCUCGAGUGCAGUCCGAUAAGGGCUGCUUUUCCAUAGAGUAAUAUCCUGUGGGAAUAAGAGGGGGGCAAGACUGGUGUCAGCCGCCGCGGUAACACCAGCCCCUCGAGUGGUGGGGGCUAUUAUUUGGCCUAAAGCGUCCGUAGCUGGCUGUAUCCGUCCCCCGUUAAAUCCAGCGUCCUAAGCGUUGGACUGCGGGUGAUACCAUACAGCUAGAGGGUGGGAUAGGUGAGCGGUAUUUCUGGGGUAGGGGCGAAAUCCUUUGAUCCCAGGAGGACCACCAGUGGCGAAGGCUGCUCACUAGAACACGCCUGACGGUCAGGGACGAAAGCUGGGGCAGCGAACCGGAUUAGAUACCCGGGUAGUCCCAGCUGUAAACGAUGCUAGCUAGGUGUUGGGUCGGCCACGUGCCGCCCCAGUGCCGCAGGGAAGCCGUUAAGCUAGCCGCCUGGGGAGUACGGCCGCAAGGCUGAAACUUAAAGGAAUUGGCGGGGGAGCACCACCAGGCGUGAAGCCUGCGGUUUAAUUGGAGUCAACGCCGGAAAUCUUACCGGGAUCGACAGCAGAGUGAAGGCCAGAUUGAAGGUCUUGCUAGACGAGCUGAGAGGAGGUGCAUGGCCAUCGCCAGUUCGUGCCGUGAGGUGUCCUCUUAAAUGAGGUAACGAACGAGACCCCCACCCCAUGUUGCCAUCAGGAUCUAAAAGGUCGCUGGGCACUCUUGGGGGACCGCUGCCGACAAGGCUGAGGAAGGUGGGGGCCACGGUAGGUCAGUAUGCCCCGAAUAUCCCGGGCCACACGCGGGCUGCAAUGGUAGGGACAGAGGGCUGCAACCCGCCCUCGUGAACAUGGAAUGCCUAGUAACCGCGCGUCAUCAUCGCGCAGUGAAUACGUCCCUGCUCCUCGCACACACUGCCCGUCGAACCACCCGAAUGAGUUUCGGGUGAGGCGUGAUCGUAUGUUGGUCGCGUCGAACCUGGGGCUCGUAAGGAGGGUUAAGUCGUAACAAGGUGGCCGUACCGGAAGGUGCGGCCG